Molecule: ribosomal RNA, 468 nt
Filed under: uncultured bacterium
Lineage: Bacteria
Description: partial 16S ribosomal RNA
Rfam family: Bacterial small subunit ribosomal RNA
Source: RNAcentral
GACGAACGCUGGCGGCGUGCUUAACACAUGCAAGUCGAACGGAAAGGCCCUGCUUUUGUGGGGUGCUCGAGUGGCGAACGGGUGAGUAACACGUGAGUAACCUGCCCUUGAAUUUGGGAUAACUUCAGGAAACUGGGGCUAAUACCGGAUAGGAGCUCCUGCUGCAUGGUGGGGGUUGGAAAGUUUCGGCGGUUGGGGAUGGACUCGCGGCUUAUCAGCUUGUUGGUGGGGUAGUGGCUUACCAAGGCUUUGACGGGUAGCCGGCCUGAGAGGGUGACCGGCGACAUUGGGACUGAGAUACGGACCAGACUCCUACGGGAGGCAGCAGUGGGGAAUAUUGCACAGUGGGCGGAAGCCUGAGGCAGCAACGCCGCGUGCGGGAUGACGGCCUUCGGGUUGUAAACCGCUUUCGACUGUGACGAAGCGUGAGUGACGGUAAUGGGUAAAGAAGCACCGGCUAACUACGUG